Molecule: ribosomal RNA, 230 nt
Filed under: uncultured bacterium
Lineage: Bacteria
Description: partial 16S ribosomal RNA
Rfam family: Bacterial small subunit ribosomal RNA
Source: RNAcentral
AAAGGGCGCGUAGGCGGCUGUCACAGUCAGGCGUGAAAUUCCUGGGCUCAACCUGGGGACUGCGCUUGAGACGUGACGGCUUGAGUGGGGAAGAGGGUCGUGGAAUUCCCAGUGUAGAGGUGAAAUUCGUAGAUAUUGGGAAGAACACCGGUGGCGAAGGCGGCGACCUGGUCCUUGACUGACGCUGAGGCGCGAAAGCGUGGGGAGCAAACAGGAUUAGAUACCCUUGU